This 468-nucleotide ribosomal RNA is filed under the name uncultured bacterium. Its description in RNAcentral is "partial 16S ribosomal RNA". It matches the Rfam family "Bacterial small subunit ribosomal RNA", at positions 28 to 507 of the family's 1533-position model. The record is from RNAcentral.
GACGAACGCUGGCGGCGUGCUUAACACAUGCAAGUCGAACGGAAAGGCCCUGCUUUUGUGGGGUUCUCGAGUGGCGAACGGGUGAGUAACACGUGAGUAACCUGCCCUUGACUUUGGGAUAACUUCAGGAAACUGCGGCUAAUACCGGAUAUGAGCUCCUGCUCCAUGUUGUGGGUUGGAAAGUUUCGGCGGUUGUGGAUGGACUCGCGGCUUAUCAGCUUGUUGGUGGGGUAGUGGCUUACCAAGGCUUUGACGGGUAGCCGGCCUGAGAGGGUGACCGGCCACAUUGGGACUGAGAUACGGCCCAGACUCCUACGGGAGGCAGCAGUGGGGAAUAUUGCACAAUGGGCGGAAGCCUGAUGCAGCAACGCCGCGUGCGGGAUGACGGCCUUCGGGUUGUAAACCGCUUUCGACUGUGACGAAGCGUGAGUGACGGUAAUGGGUAAAGAAGCACCGGCUAACUACGUG